GUCUCUUCGGGGAUGAUUAAACCGGCGCACGGGUGAGUAACACGUGAGUGACCUGCCUUUUAGACUGGAACAACUUACCGAAAGGUGAGCUAAUGCCGGAUGAGUUAUAUAAGUGCAUGUUUAUAUAGGAAAAGUUGGGGAGACCUGACGCUGAAAGAUGGACUCGCGUCCCAUUAGCUAGUUGGUAGGGUAAUGGCCUACCAAGGCGACGAUGGGUAGCCGGCCUGAGAGGGUGGCCGGCCACACUGGGACUGAGACACGGCCCAGACUCCUACGGGAGGCAGCAGUGGGGAAUUUUGCGCAAUGCUCGUAAGAGUGACGCAGCGACGCCGCGUGAAUGACGAAGGCCUUCGGGUCGUAAAGUUCUUUCGACAGGGAAGAAAAUGCCUAUAAGUAACUGUGUAUGUAUUGACGGUACCUGUAUAAGCAGCCCCGGCUAACUCCGUGCCAGCAGCCGCGGUAAUACGGAGGGGGCGAGCGUUGUUCGGAGUGACUGGGCGUAAAGAGCACGUAGGCGGUGUUGUAAGUCAUUAGUCAAAGACUAGAGCUCAACUUUAGUAAGGCUAGUGAUACUAUAAUACUAGAGUAUCAGAGAGGAUUGCAGAAUUCCUGGUGUAGCGGUGAAAUGCGUAGAUAUCAGGAGGAAUACCGUUAGCGAAGGCGGCAAUCUGGCUGGAAACUGACGCUGAGGUGCGAAAGCGUGGGUAGCAAACAGGAUUAGAUACCCUGGUAGUCCACGCUGUAAACGAUGGAUGCUAGGUGUUGGGCUUUUAAGUUCAGUGCCGCAGCAAACGCGAUAAGCAUCCCGCCUGGGGAGUACGUUUGCAAGAAUGAAACUC
This 839-nucleotide ribosomal RNA is filed under the name uncultured bacterium. RNAcentral's name for it is "bacterial SSU rRNA". It matches the Rfam family "Bacterial small subunit ribosomal RNA", at positions 74 to 902 of the family's 1533-position model. The record is from RNAcentral.